CACAUUUUUAUUAACAAUGACGACCUAGAAACAGUGGGAUAACUGCCUUGUUCAGGGGCAGCACAACUGUUUUUAAAUUUUUGUAAAAAAAAAUGUACCUUGUCAGCUCGGGGAUUCGAUCGAGCAACCUUUCGGUUACUGGCCCAACGCUCUAACCACUUGGCUAGUGCUAUAGAGCAGUGCUAUAUUUUUCAACCGCAAUAUCAACAACUGUUCAAUAUCUUCUUAUUUUUUUCUUAGGACACGCUAGGUAGACCACCAGCUCAGGAGAUUCCCCUGGAGGAGCACUGUCAAUACAAGUACUUGUUCAACUUCCGGGGUGUGGCGGCCAGCUUCCGCCUCAAGCACCUGUUCCUGUGUGGCUCUCUGGUUUUCCAUCCUGGAGUUCUUCUAUCCCCAGCUGCUGCCCCGGGUACACUACAUCCCUGUCAAACAGGACCUCUCUGACCUCAGGUGACCUGUCUGGCUUGGCUGUGUGUCAUAACUGUUCACCUGUUCAACUGUCAACCUGCUCCAUGGGUAAUGUAGUGAAAUAUGUGGUUUGUCUAAUAUCUGAAUGUUCUCUGUUAUAUCUAUAGUGAUGUCCCCUAUUUCUGUCUUACCAGGGAACUGCUACAGUUUGAAUGAAAACGAUGAAAUCGCUCAAGAGAUUCCCAUUAGGUAACAAGCUGGGUUGUGAACUAGAAAGAAUGGCUAUAGUUAAUGUAACCAGUCUGUCUGCUUUCUCACAGCUUGUACAGCAGCAUGCUAAAUAAUCAGACUAUUGAUAUUGUUGACUUAUGUUAGUUGACCAGCCUCUGCCUCCAGGGGUCAACGGUUCAUCCUGGACCACCUGAGGAUGGAGGACGUGUCGUGUUACUGGGAGAGACUCCUCACUGAGUUUGGUGGGCUGCUCAAGUAUAAACUCCGGAGGAGGACUAACUACAAUCAGGUCAUCCACAAGCAUGGGAGGACAGAACUGUGACCGAGCCAGAGGGGGGGUCACUCUGUAUGGACUAUAUGGAGAUCCAGUCAAUGGAUAGCGGCAGAUUGAUAUUUGUUCACACUGCUUAUUAAUGUCCCUAAUGCUGGUCUUAGAAUGAGGAAUUGCUGGUCUUCACAUUUAGGCUGUGGUCUUCCCAUUGAUUCUCCAUAGGGUUAGAUGUAAUAGAGUACCUUUUUUAAAGUAUUGUGUUAUAGACGAUUUAGGAGUUGGAAAAACGCUGUAAAAAGAAAGCGGCUAUUUGGGAUUGAAAUUACCAUUGGGAUUAGCAGACA
Molecule: long non-coding RNA, 1257 nt
Filed under: Salmo trutta (river trout)
Lineage: Eukaryota; Metazoa; Chordata; Actinopteri; Salmoniformes; Salmonidae
Description: lncRNA (ENSSTUG00000047228.1)
Source: RNAcentral